UACGUAGGGUGCAGGCGUUAUUCGGAAUUACUGGGCGUAAAGCGUGCGCAGGCGGUUUCUUAAGUCAGAUGUGAAAGCCCCGGGCUUAACCUGGGAACUGCGUUUGAAACUGGGAGACUUGAGUGUGGCAGAGGGGGGUGGAAUUCCACGUGUAGCAGUGAAAUGCGUAGAUAUGUGGAGGAACACCGAUGGCGAAGGCAGCCCCCUGGGUUAACACUGACGCUCAUGCACGAAAGCGUGGGGAGCAAACAGG
RNAcentral lists this ribosomal RNA (253 nucleotides) under uncultured bacterium. RNAcentral's name for it is "partial 16S ribosomal RNA". It matches the Rfam family "Bacterial small subunit ribosomal RNA", at positions 524 to 776 of the family's 1533-position model. The record is from RNAcentral.